Molecule: ribosomal RNA, 254 nt
Filed under: uncultured bacterium
Lineage: Bacteria
Description: partial small subunit ribosomal RNA
Rfam family: Bacterial small subunit ribosomal RNA
Source: RNAcentral
GGGACGAACGCUGGCGGCGUGCUUAACACAUGCAAGUCGAGCGGAAAGGCCCUUCGGGGUACUCGAGCGGCGAACGGGUGAGUAACACGUGAGUAAUCUGCCCCUAGCUCUGGGAUAGCUCCGGGAAACCGGGAUUAAUACCGGAUACGACCACCUUAGACAUCUUUUGUGGUGGAAAGAAUUUCGGCUAGGGAUGAGCUCGCGGCCUAUCAGCUUGUUGGUGGGGUAACGGCCUACCAAGGCGACGACGGGUA